AAGUAGGGCGGGACACGAGAAAUCCUGUUUGAAGAUGGGGGGACCAUCCUCCAAGGCUAAAUACUCCUGAUUGACCGAUAGUGAACCAGUACUGUGAAGGAAAGGCGAAAAGAACCCCAGUGAGGGGAGUGAAAUAGAACCUGAAACCGUGUACGUACAAGCAGUGGGAGCCCGAAAGGGUGACUGCGUACCUUUUGUAUAAUGGGUCAGCGACUUAUAUUUUGUAGCGAGGUUAACUGAAUAAGGGAGCCGAAGGGAAACCGAGUCUUAACUGGGCGGAUAGUUGCAAGGUAUAGACCCGAAACCCGGUGAUCUAGCCAUGGGCAGGUUGAAGGUUGGGUAACACUAACUGGAGGACCGAACCGACUAAUGUUGAAAAAUUAGCGGAUGACUUGUGGCUGGGGGUGAAAGGCCAAUCAAACCGGGAGAUAGCUGGUUCUCCCCGAAAUCUAUUUAGGUAGAGCCUUAUGUGAAUACCUUCGGGGGUAGAGCACUGUUUCGGCUAGGGGUCCAUCCCGGAUUACCAACCCGAUGCAAACUGCGAAUACCGAAGAGUAAUGCAUAGGAGACACACAGUGGGUGCUAACGUCCAUCGUGGAGAGGGAAACAACCCAGACCGCCAGCUAAGGUCCCAAAGUCUAUAUUAAGUGGGAAACGAAGUGGGAAGGCUUAGACAGCUAGGAUGUUGGCUUAGAAGCAGCCACCAUUUAAAGAAAGCGUAAUAGCUCACUAGUCGAGUCGGCCUGCGCGGAAGAUGUAACGGGGCUAAAAUAUAGCACCGAAGCUGCGGCAUCAGGCGUAUCACAAAUACGCCUUCGAUUAACAACAUCGAAUGAAGUGAAACGGAAUAAGAUGUUGGUCAAGCACCCAACACGUUGAGUUGGCAUAAAGUGCGGAUAGAAAUCAGAGGAAUAUUUGUGAUACGCCUGUUGGGUAGGGGAGCGUUGUGUAAGUCGAUGAAGGUGUAUUGAGAAGUAUGCUGGAGAUAUCACAAGUGCGAAUGCUGACAUAAGUAACGAUAAAACGAGUGAAAAACUCGUUCGCCGGAAGACCAAGGGUUCCUGUCCAACGUUAAUCGGGGCAGGGUGAGUCGGCCCCUAAGGCGAGGCUGAAAAGCGUAGUCGAUGGGAAACGGGUUAAUAUUCCCGUACUUGGUAAAGCUGCGAUGUGGGGACGGAGAAGGUUAGGUUAGCAGACUGUUGGAUGUCUGUUUAAGUUGGUAGGUGGGAAGUUUAGGCAAAUCCGGACUUCCAUAACACUGAGAGAUGAUGACGAGUUUCUACGGAAAUGAAGUAACUGAUACCACGCUUCCAGGAAAAGCCACUAAGCGAAAGGCUUUACUAAACCGUACUGAAAACCGACACAGGUGGUCAGGUAGAGAAUACUCAGGCGCUUGAGAGAACUCGGGUGAAGGAACUAGGCAAAAUAGCACCGUAACUUCGGGAGAAGGUGCGCUGGCGUAGGUUGUAGGAGUAUACCUCCGAAGGCUGAACCAGUCGAAGAUACCAGCUGGCUGCAACUGUUUAUUAAAAACACAGCACUCUGCAAACACGAAAGUGGACGUAUAGGGUGUGAUGCCUGCCCGGUGCUGGAAGGUUAAUUGAUGGUGUUAUCGAAAGAGAAGCUCCUGAUCGAAGCCCCAGUAAACGGCGGCCGUAACUAUAACGGUCCUAAGGUAGCGAAAUUCCUUGUCGGGUAAGUUCCGACCUGCACGAAUGGCAUAAUGAUGGCCAGGCUGUCUCCACCCGAGACUCAGUGAAAUUGAAAUCGCCGUGAAGAUGCGGUGUACCCGCGGCUAGACGGAAAGACCCCGUGAACCUUUACUAUAGCUUGACACUGAACAUUGAAUUUUGAUGUGUAGGAUAGGUGGGAG
This 1873-nucleotide ribosomal RNA is filed under the name Glaesserella parasuis ST4-1. RNAcentral's name for it is "bacterial LSU rRNA". It matches the Rfam family "Bacterial large subunit ribosomal RNA", at positions 410 to 2153 of the family's 2925-position model. Lineage: Bacteria; Pseudomonadati; Pseudomonadota; Gammaproteobacteria; Pasteurellales; Pasteurellaceae. The record is from RNAcentral.